AUUGAACGCUGGCGGCAUGCUUUACACAUGCAAGUCGAACGGUAACAGGCCUUCGGGUGCUGACGAGUGGCGCACGGGUGAGUAAUGCAUCGGAACGUACCCAGAGGUGGGGGAUAACGCAGCGAAAGCUGUGCUAAUACUGCAUGUGAUCUGAGGAUGAAAGCGGGGGACCGAGCAGCAAUGUUUGGCCUCGCGCCUUUGGAGCGGCCGAUGUCGGAUUAGCUAGUUGGUGGGGUAAAGGCCUACCAAGGCGACGAUCCGUAGCUGGUCUGAGAGGACGACCAGCCACACUGGGACUGAGACACGGCCCAGACUCCUACGGGAGGCAGCAGUGGGGAAUUUUGGACAAAGGGCGCAAGCCUGAUCCAGCAAUGCCGCGUGCGGGAAGAAGGCCUUCGGGUUGUAAACCGCUUUUGGCAGGAACGAAACGGUGUCCGCUAAUACCGGGCGCUAAUGACGGUACCUGCAGAAUAAGCACCGGCUAACUACGUG
RNAcentral lists this ribosomal RNA (492 nucleotides) under uncultured bacterium. RNAcentral's name for it is "partial 16S ribosomal RNA". It matches the Rfam family "Bacterial small subunit ribosomal RNA", at positions 29 to 507 of the family's 1533-position model. The record is from RNAcentral.